This 301-nucleotide ribosomal RNA is filed under the name uncultured bacterium. RNAcentral's name for it is "partial 16S ribosomal RNA". It matches the Rfam family "Bacterial small subunit ribosomal RNA", at positions 509 to 807 of the family's 1533-position model. The record is from RNAcentral.
CAGUAGCCACGGUAAAACGGAGGGUGCAAGCGUUAAUCGGAAUUACUGGGCGUAAAGCGCACGCAGGCGGUCUGACAAGUCAGAUGUGAAAUCCCCGGGCUCAACCUGGGAACUGCCUUUGUGACUGCAAGGCUAGAGUACGGCAGAGGGGGAUGGAAUUCCGCGUGUAGCAGUGAAAUGCGUAGAUAUGCGGAGGAACACCGAUGGCGAAGGCAAUCCCCUGGGCCUGUACUGACGCUCAUGCACGAAAGCGUGGGGAGCAAACAGGAUUAGAUACCCCAGUAGUCCCUGUCUCUUAUAC